This 88-nucleotide transfer RNA is filed under the name Hyphomicrobiales bacterium. RNAcentral's name for it is "Pseudo tRNA". It matches the Rfam family "tRNA". From Rfam's summary of the family: Transfer RNA (tRNA) molecules are approximately 80 nucleotides in length. The record is from RNAcentral. Lineage: Bacteria; Pseudomonadati; Pseudomonadota; Alphaproteobacteria; Hyphomicrobiales. RNAcentral also lists the same sequence under 2 other names.
GGGAAGGCGCCAAAGCCGGAGAGUUGGGGCGGGCUGUAAACCCGCUGCCUUUGUUGCUGAGUAGGUUCGACUCCUACCCUUCCCACCA